GAUCUUCAGCUAGAGGCUCCCAUCUGUACGAAUAUCUCCCCCCUCUUUAAUGGCAACAAGAGAGUUGAAAAGUCAACAGAGAUAAAUUCCGUGUCAAUUUUUUCGUUAUUUGCCAAAAAUGCGCUCCAUCUUCUCUAAAAACGCAAACUCUUUUCCUUUUAAUUUACGAUUCCUCUCCAUUGUUAGUUUGUUGACAUCGCCGACGCCAUCACUAGCAGCAGUACCACCACCGGCGUAACCAGCGCUUCCACCUCCUCUGCCACAUAAAAUCUCUCUUUAUCCACCAGCACCACCACCAACACCGGUAGCACUACGAAUUGAAUUGAUGAAGCUGAUGAUUUUACUCGAUUGAUUUUCGUAAUCAAAUCGAUUUCCCCCAAAAUAUUAACGAUUGUUAUGAAGAUGGUGGUUCAGAUUUAUUCUAAAUUAUGAUAAAUUAGUUUGGUUUCAUCUUUUUCGAUUAGGGCGCUGUCAUAUAGGAGACUACGGCGAAUUUUUCAUCAGAGCUGUAACAGUAAUUAUCACUCGAGGCUUCGUCUACCUCGACUACUGAGAUUGGCUGAGACAAGGUGUAUUCCCAGUUAAGCAUCCACUUCAUGCAGUCGAUGGUACACCAUUGUUGGGGAAGUAAAGGGAUAUUCUGACAACAAGUUCGAACGCAAGUGUCAAAGGUGGUAGGUAAUCCGAAUUGAAACACUUAACAUCAAAGUCAGUAUUCAAAAGGAUAAGACUUUGUGUAUACUUAGUUUUAGUUGUGUUAGGCGUAAGCGGGAAACACCAAUUUUAGUAGUUAAGACUAAAUUUGGAUGAUCAUAGCGUUGUUGUGAUGUUUGAUGUAUAUUCAUCACAUGCGUGUUCGCCUGUUCAUUUGUUUUUUAAAAGUGUAUGAGAAACUGUAGAAUUUUGUAGGAA
Molecule: long non-coding RNA, 912 nt
Organism: Papaver somniferum (opium poppy)
Lineage: Eukaryota; Viridiplantae; Streptophyta; Magnoliopsida; Ranunculales; Papaveraceae
Exons: 3
Source: RefSeq, a predicted model, not a curated record